Long non-coding RNA from Pezoporus flaviventris, 2459 nucleotides. RefSeq lists it as uncharacterized. The transcript has 3 exons. Lineage: Eukaryota; Metazoa; Chordata; Aves; Psittaciformes; Psittacidae. The record is from RefSeq and is a predicted model, not a curated record.
UGCAUGCUGUAUUUGGGCAGGAAGAGGCCCAGCGUCUCCCUGCCUGUGUGUCAGAGAGGAAGAAGGUGUUAUUGAAGUGGCAUGGCUGGACCCUUCCAUCAGUGCUGCUCGGGGACCCUUGUUCCCUUCUCAGCAGUGUCACCAUACUGCAUCCUCAGCAUCACCUGCCCAGCCUCCCUUUGUUGGUGCCUUCUCCCAGCUCCUCCAUGCGCUGCACUGGUCCCCAAGGUCCUCCAGCAUCCUCUCUCCUCUACUUAUUCCUGCCUUCCAAACUCUCCCUGCCUUCUCUCUUCAGCUCCUUCCUCCCAGAUGAAUCCUGUUGGUAGAAAAGGAAGCCUGGUGAGGGUUUGGCCCCCAUGCUCAGUGCUGGUAGAUGCAAUGCAAACCUGAUGCUGUGAUAAAGUAAAUCGAACCGAGAUGUGGAGUUUGGCUUCUGGGCAAGAAAGACCAUUCAGGUUUCAGCAGAUGCCUGCUUCUCUGGUCCUGCUCUCUCUGAGAGCUCCAUGGGGAGCAGCUCUUGGGGUGAAGACAGAGUUUGGCUUAGCCUAGGGCUUGAGGAGAGGUGGCCGAGACAGAGUGGGAUCUGGUGAAGGCUUGGCUCUCAGCUUCAGACCCUGCAGAUGUCUGGAUGCUCACGGUCUCUAGCUGGUAUUUCUCAUUGCAGAGCCAGCAUUUGGUGAAGCAUCACCCCCCCCCCCCCCAUGUUCUAUCCAGACCUACCUGGACCCUCUCCUUCCCCUGCUGCUGCCUCCCUGCUCACUGGCCAUGCACAGGAGGGGAGCAGGCAUCUCCCACCCCUUCUACCAGCUGCAAUCACACCAUGCACAUGCUCAUCCUCUAUGUCACUCCGCGCUAGCACCCCUUGGGAUUUGGCCAGCGUGUGUCAGGGCUAUGUGCCUCUUCCUCUCCAGCUGCUCUCUGCUCGGCUGCAUCACCCAGAGCAUCCCUUCCUCCUGCUUGGGGUUGCUUUGUACAUCUGAGUUAUUUUGCCCUGAUUUAUACUAGGUCACGGGCUUGUGGGUCCCUUGCUUGGCCAUGGUAGCGCAGCCUCUUCGAUUAGGUGUAUUUCCAAGCAUGACUUCCAUCUGUCCAUCAGUCACUAUAGCUAAUUUCUGCUGCAUUUACAGCCAUACAGGGGCAUCCUUCGUGUGUAAUAAUCGCUGGUGGUGGCAGGACUGGGAGAAGGGGUCUAUCCCACGUGUUUCACCUCUUCUCCAGUCACAAACAGUUUGGGAUUUUUGGUAGUUGCAUUAAGUAUUCCAAGUGAUUUCCAUUUCCCCCAUUGCAUUCAUUAUCCCAAAUUGUUCUCCAGAUGAUUUCCACAAAUAAUUCGCGGGUCUUUGCUCUUUGGUGGAUACUCAGGCUCAAGAACAGGAGUCGUUUUAAUUGGGAUCUUACAUCACGUGAUGGCGUUUGGCUUCCCGAUUGGGCAAGGCUUCAUCUUUAGCCUUCAAUGUGGAGGCGUGCAGGCCCCGCUGCAAAGAUUGAUGCACACAAUAGGAUCGGUGCCUUUGGAUUUGUUUGAAGAGAUCCGAGAGCCAUUGAAAACUCAACCGAGGAGGGGUGGUUGCUGCUGAUGCUGGUUUCCUCCGCCGGACGUGCCCAUUCCUAAAGCUUUCCAGAGGCACUGGGGUGGAUGAGGGGGGACGAGUGGCCGCAGUGGCAAUGGGCAGAGCUAGCAGCUCCGUUUUGGAGGUGUGAGAAAUACCCCGGCUGGCUCAUUGGCAGCGCGGAGAGCUCGGGAAGAGCUUGCAUGCGUCACAUACUUGCCCAAACCUCUCCUGCUUUGCAACGUGCCCGCUAAAGGAAAACAUGGAUCUGACAGCAAUAAAACUGUCGGGCGGCUGCUGCUGCUGCUGCUGCCUUUAAAAGUUCCAUGAUAGCUUCUUCCCCCCCCCCCCUUCCCCUUCCCCAUCCCUUUAUUUUUAAUAGCUAAUGCAUCUGUCACUACUUCCCUAAUGAGCUUUCCGAAAAGGGCCGUGGGGACCUCUGCCUACCCAUGCGGGCUUGGGUAGGCGCUUACUCAAGGGAGGCAGAGGGAAUUCAGCUCCUUCUUUUCACCCCCAUCUCCUCCCCAACCUCCUCUCGGAGGGCAGGCUGUCCAGAGGGAGGGGAAAGGCAGCAAUAUCCGAGGACUGGGCGAGCUGGCGUGCACCCCCUGCAAUCACAGCCAAUAAUGACAAAAAGACGGGGCUGCUGCCAGAGAUAGAGAGCUGAGCUCCAAGCGUUACAGCAAUGUCACAGCCUUGGGACUGCUGCUGGCUGCUACUGGAAAGAGAUUUCCUCACAACAGGCAGAGUUAUAGGAAGGAGCCAUUGAUUGCAUUAAAAAACACUCUCCCCACCUCUCUUUUUUUGGCAUGGAUUUUCAAGGCUGGGUAUUUUUUUUUCCCUCCCUUCUUUCCAUUCCCCCCCCCCCUCCUUCUCCUUCUCUCUCCAUUUGCCAUUGAAGUUGCGUUC